UACAUAACCUUUUCCUUUUGAGUUUAAUGUAUUUUUAUCGGUGAAUCAAAGUUUAGCUUAUUUCUCCCUUCGUCUCUUUGCUUCCCCAUCGGUUUUAUCAAAGAGCAAACUCCACGGAGAAGAAGAAAACCAAGACUUAACUAUAUUUUUGUGUGGCUCAACUAACCUCCAACUUCUAAAAUUCAUAUGCGAAUUCAAUGGAAACCAACAACCUCUAGAUCGUUGUAGAUCGGAGACUAAUUGGUUGAUCAAAACAUUCAAUCUAAGAAGAAAGCAGGGGAUGUGAAAUUUAGAGGAUGAAUGGAUUAUCAUGUUGAAGAUCAGGUUGAACCCUUUCGUAUAAGGUUAUUAGUUGAAUUUUAGCAAAAAAAAAAGAUCAGGUAUUGGCAUAUGAAAUAAAAACUCCAAACAUAGAAUCUAGUUAAUCGGAAUCGUCAUACAAAGGUUAGUACUUGUUUUAUAAUAAGGUUGAUUUCAAAUGUCUUAAAUGUUUUUCAGACAUGAAGUAUUAGUAUCAAAACCAUCUCAUAGUUCUGUUAUAUAGAGAGAUAGACAGUAGCAUCCGAUUUAUUGAAGAGCGAUUCUUAAGAUUUGGGUCAGAUUGAUAAACAGAGAGAUAAAUCGUGAGAAGAGUAGCAAACAGAAGUACUGAAGCAAUAUGGAUUAAAGGGGAGACAGAGAAAGGAAGAACGUAAUAUGUGUCUCUCAGUUUUCUUUUGCUUCUUUCUUGUUCUGAGAUUUUUUUUAACUUGUUUAAAUAAUAUUUACAGCUCAAAAGGUAUUCAAGGUUGUCCAUGUCCCCACAGUUGAUGUCACUAAUCAUAUAUGUGUCUUGUCUCAUAUCUCUGUCUGAUAUUCUAAUUCUAAUAUAUGUACAGAUUGAAUAAACGUUUCCUCCUUCUGAUAAGAUAGCAAACCCAUUGAUCAAUGAAGCUGAGGAUGAAAUCUUUCAAAUGUUUGAUAUGAAACUGUAACAGAGAUUUCUAUGACCCAGUUGAGGAAGAUGAAUUUGAACAGGAUGCUAAGGUCCAUAUAUUGUUCCCAACUGAACCUCUUCCGUGAUGAACUCAAGAGUUUCUCCACCACUACGGGUGUUUUGCUUCCACGGAUGAGGCAAUCUGACACGAACUGGCCACCCGAUUUUAUACGCUUUGACAUCCUUUAGAAGAGACAUAUUUUUUGCGUUCGCCAUGUUUUUUGUGAAUGAAGAGUGAAAUAUGGAUAGGUAGUAGGUAAUUCUAGACCCAGUAUAUAUAUAUAUAUAUGGGUGAAGAGUCUAGGUUAAGAGGGUAGAUAUGGCGAGUUUAGAUACAGCUCGGAUAUCCUCUGCCUUCAAUUUUUUAAAGUUAAUCGUAUGAUUGUAUC
This is a long non-coding RNA of Brassica oleracea var. oleracea, 1365 nucleotides long. RefSeq lists it as uncharacterized. The transcript has 4 exons. The record is from RefSeq and is a predicted model, not a curated record. NCBI's taxonomy places the organism in Eukaryota, Viridiplantae, Streptophyta, Magnoliopsida, Brassicales, Brassicaceae.